RNAcentral lists this non-coding RNA (356 nucleotides) under Homo sapiens (human). Lineage: Eukaryota; Metazoa; Chordata; Mammalia; Primates; Hominidae. The record is from RNAcentral.
GAGAAUUCUCACCAAAUGUUCCCAAAUCCUUAUCCUCAGCUGUGAAGGUAAAAAUUGGAACAUCACUGGAAUGGGGUGGAACAUCUGAACCAAAGAAAUUUGAUGACUCUGUGAUACUUAGACCAAGCAAGAGUGUAAAACUCCGAAGUCCUAAAUCAGAACUACAUCAAGAUCGUUCUUCUCCCCCACCUCCUCUCCCAGAAAGAACUCUAGAGUCCUUCUUUCUUGCCGAUGAAGAUUGUAUGCAGGCCCAAUCUAUAGAAACAUAUUCUACUAGCUAUCCUGACACCAUGGAAAAUUCAACAUCUUCAAAACAGACACUGAAGACUCCUGGAAAAAGUUUCACAAGGAGUAAG